AUGGCGGCGGGGAAACACCCGGUUUCCAUUCCGAACCCGGCAGUUAAGCCCGCCAGCGCCGAUGGUACUGGGGGGACAUCCCCCGGGAGAGUAGGUCGCCGCC
RNAcentral lists this ribosomal RNA (103 nucleotides) under marine eukaryotic metagenome. The record is from RNAcentral.